Molecule: ribosomal RNA, 32 nt
Filed under: Tilletiopsis washingtonensis
Lineage: Eukaryota; Fungi; Basidiomycota; Exobasidiomycetes; Entylomatales
Description: partial 18S ribosomal RNA
Source: RNAcentral
GAUAUUAGUGAAUCACCGGGGAACCACUCUGU